RNAcentral lists this ribosomal RNA (462 nucleotides) under uncultured bacterium. RNAcentral describes it as "partial 16S ribosomal RNA". It matches the Rfam family "Bacterial small subunit ribosomal RNA", at positions 29 to 507 of the family's 1533-position model. The record is from RNAcentral.
AACAAACGCUGGCGGCGUGCCUAAUACAUGCAAGUCGAACGGGGAAAGCUUUCGGGUGAGUACUAGUGGCGCACGGGUGAGGAACGCGUGGAUAAUCUGCCUUAGAGUGGGGGAUAACUAGUCGAAAGAUUAGCUAAUACCGCAUAAGACCACGAGAGCUGCGGCUUUUGAGGUCAAAGGUUUUUCGCUCUAAGAUGAGUCCGCGUAAGAUUAGCUAGUUGGUGAGGUAACGGCUCACCAAGGCGACGAUCUUUAACUGGUCUGAGAGGAUGAUCAGUCACACUGGAACUGAGACACGGUCCAGACUCCUACGGGAAGCAGCAGUAGGGAAUAUUGCACAAUGGAGGAAACUCUGAUGCAGCGACGCCGCGUGAGUGAUGAAGGCCUUCGGGUCGUAAAGCUCUGUCGCAGGGGAAUAACACAAUGAAGGUACCCUGUAAGAAAGGAUCGGCUAACUUCGUG